This 225-nucleotide long non-coding RNA is filed under the name Capsicum annuum. RNAcentral's name for it is "long non-coding RNA (CANN_LNC008548)". The record is from RNAcentral. Lineage: Eukaryota; Viridiplantae; Streptophyta; Magnoliopsida; Solanales; Solanaceae.
UCCUGUAGUAAUUGCAGAGUUACAGAUUUCUGUAUAAUAAUUUAUCCUAAUUGUACUGUAAUGUAUAUCUAAUUCUAGAUUUUCAACGUUAUUUAUUAUCUUGUGUUGUUCUUCUUGUAGCGAUUUUUUUAAAUUAUAUAAAUUAUCACAUGUACUUUUUUUCUAAAUUUUCUAAGGUUUCUUCUAUCCAUAUUAAUUUUUCUUUUAGAUUCUCCAUUAUUUUUC